UACGUAGGGUGCAAGCGUUAAUCGGAAUUACUGGGCGUAAAGCGUGCGCAGGCGGUUAUGCAAGACAGAGGUGAAAUCCCCGGGCUCAACCUGGGAACUGCCUUUGUGACUGCAUGGCUAGAGUACGGUAGAGGGGGAUGGAAUUCCGCGUGUAGCAGUGAAAUGCGUAGAUAUGCGGAGGAACACCGAUGGCGAAGGCAAUCCCCUGGACCUGUACUGACGCUCAUGCACGAAAGCGUGGGGAGCAAACAGGAUUAG
RNAcentral lists this ribosomal RNA (258 nucleotides) under uncultured Burkholderiales bacterium. Its description in RNAcentral is "partial 16S ribosomal RNA". It matches the Rfam family "Bacterial small subunit ribosomal RNA", at positions 524 to 781 of the family's 1533-position model. Lineage: Bacteria; Pseudomonadati; Pseudomonadota; Betaproteobacteria; Burkholderiales. The record is from RNAcentral.